This 465-nucleotide ribosomal RNA is filed under the name Vreelandella stevensii. RNAcentral's name for it is "partial 16S ribosomal RNA". It matches the Rfam family "Bacterial small subunit ribosomal RNA", at positions 338 to 795 of the family's 1533-position model. The record is from RNAcentral. Lineage: Bacteria; Pseudomonadati; Pseudomonadota; Gammaproteobacteria; Oceanospirillales; Halomonadaceae.
CCUACGGGGGGCUGCAGUGGGGAAUAUUGGACAAUGGGGGCAACCCUGAUCCAGCCAUGCCGCGUGUGUGAAGAAGGCCCUCGGGUUGUAAAGCACUUUCAGUGAGGAAGAACGCCUGGUGGUUAAUACCCAUCAGGAAAGACAUCACUCACAGAAGAAGCACCGGCUAACUCCGUGCCAGCAGCCGCGGUAAUACGGAGGGUGCGAGCGUUAAACGGAAUUACUGGGCGUAAAGCGCGCGUAGGUGGCUUGAUAAGCCGGUUGUGAAAGCCCCGGGCUCAACCUGGGAACGGCAUCCGGAACUGUCAAGCUAGAGUGCAGGAGAGGAAGGUAGAAUUCCCGGUGUAGCGGUGAAAUGCGUAGAGAUCGGGAGGAAUACCAGUGGCGAAGGCGGCCUUCUGGACUGACACUGACACUGAGGUGCGAAAGCGUGGGUAGCAAACAGGAUUAGAUACCCCAGUAGUC